RNAcentral lists this ribosomal RNA (245 nucleotides) under uncultured bacterium. Its description in RNAcentral is "partial 16S ribosomal RNA". It matches the Rfam family "Bacterial small subunit ribosomal RNA", at positions 57 to 305 of the family's 1533-position model. The record is from RNAcentral.
GCAAGUCGAGCGAGAAAAUUCCUUCGGGAGUGAGUACAGCGGCGGACGGGUGAGUAACGCGUAGGAAUCUACCUAGUAGUGGGGGACAACAGUCGGAAACGGCUGCUAAUACCGCAUACGCCCCAAGGGGGAAAGCGGGGGAUCUUCGGACCUCGCGCUAUUGGAGGAGCCUGCGUUGGAUUAGCUAGUUGGUGGGGUAAAGGCCUACCAAGGCGACGAUCCAUAGCUGGUCUGAGAGGAUGAUC